RNAcentral lists this non-coding RNA (213 nucleotides) under Clostridiaceae bacterium. Its description in RNAcentral is "6S RNA". It matches the Rfam family "6S / SsrS RNA". Rfam says of the family: E. coli 6S RNA was the first non coding RNA to be sequenced, but its function was unknown until recently. It consists of 184 nucleotides that fold into an extended hairpin structure with a large single-stranded internal bulge. The 6S RNA specifically associates with RNA polymerase holoenzyme containing the sigma70 specificity factor. Lineage: Bacteria; Bacillati; Bacillota; Clostridia; Eubacteriales; Clostridiaceae. The record is from RNAcentral.
UGCAACCUGAAAUGCUCGGAUAAACCUAUUAUUUUGAACCUACAUUUGAGAAACGGGAGUCCGGCGUUUGAUAGUAGAUAUCAGGCCACAAGCUAAUUCCGGCAUAUGGGUAACCAUAUGUAUCGGCGGUGGAAGAUUGAAUUUGUCGGCAGGACACCCACCUGGCAUUGGGCUAGGUGUCAAAAUAUGGGGGAACGGCUUUUCGGGUUUUAA